CGAGCGAGCUUGCUCGCGUUGGGCUGCGCAGCGGCCUCAAAACAGAGAUCGCUGCGCAAUCCAGCGCGAGCAAGCUCCCUUC
This 82-nucleotide unclassified non-coding RNA is filed under the name Pseudomonas prosekii. Lineage: Bacteria; Pseudomonadati; Pseudomonadota; Gammaproteobacteria; Pseudomonadales; Pseudomonadaceae. The record is from RNAcentral.